AUCCCAUGGUGAGAGAACCUUCUAAAUAAAUCCUUAAACCUCUCCCAUGCAUCAUAUAAUGUCUCUAAAUUGACCUACACAAAGGAAGAGAUAUAGUUCCUCAACUU
Molecule: small nucleolar RNA, 107 nt
Organism: Gossypium raimondii (Peruvian cotton)
Lineage: Eukaryota; Viridiplantae; Streptophyta; Magnoliopsida; Malvales; Malvaceae
Rfam family: Plant small nucleolar RNA R71
About the family: R71 is a member of the C/D box family of snoRNAs containing the C (UGAUGA) and D (CUGA) box motifs. Multiple nearly identical copies of this snoRNA have been identified in Arabidopsis, and it is thought to function as a 2'-O-ribose methylation guide for 18S ribosomal RNA.
Source: Rfam